RNAcentral lists this unclassified non-coding RNA (239 nucleotides) under Glomus sp. Its description in RNAcentral is "partial contains 5.8S ribosomal RNA and internal transcribed spacer 2". The stretch from base 1 to 71 matches the Rfam family "5.8S ribosomal RNA", at positions 84 to 154 of the family's 154-position model. Lineage: Eukaryota; Fungi; Glomeromycota; Glomeromycetes; Glomerales; Glomeraceae. The record is from RNAcentral.
GUGAAUCAUCAAAUUUUUGAACGCAAAUUGCACUCUCUGGUAUUCCGGAGAGUAUGCCUGUUUGAGAGUCAGUUUAUAUAAAAAUCGGUGUGGUUGCUGCCUUUCGUGGUGACGCACCGGAUUUGGGUCGUCGUGCUGUCGGUUAAGUGACCUAAAGUUUUGCAUGAUUCGCUUCGAACGUAUGUAAUUGAUUGUACGUACGUUAGCGAUAUCGAAUACUACGUGUGGACAUCCUCAUG